This 203-nucleotide ribosomal RNA is filed under the name Clostridium sp. RNAcentral describes it as "partial 16S ribosomal RNA". It matches the Rfam family "Bacterial small subunit ribosomal RNA", at positions 1331 to 1533 of the family's 1533-position model. The record is from RNAcentral. Lineage: Bacteria; Bacillati; Bacillota; Clostridia; Eubacteriales; Clostridiaceae.
AUUGCUAGUAAUCGCGGAUCAGCAUGCCGCGGUGAAUACGUUCCCGGGCCUUGUACACACCGCCCGUCACACCAUGAGAGCCGGGGGGACCCGAAGUCGAUAGUCUAACCGUAAGGAGGACGUCGCCGAAGGUAAAACUGGUGAUUGGGGUGAAGUCGUAACAAGGUAGCCGUAUCGGAAGGUGCGGCUGGAUCACCUCCUUU